GUGCUCGCUUCGGCAGCACAUACACUACAAUUGGAAUGAUACAGAGAAGAUUAGCAUGGCCCCUGUGCAAGGAUGACACACAAAUUCGUGAAGCAUUUUAUAUUUUG
This 107-nucleotide small nuclear RNA is filed under the name Sciurus vulgaris (Eurasian red squirrel). Lineage: Eukaryota; Metazoa; Chordata; Mammalia; Rodentia; Sciuridae. The record is from RNAcentral.